RNAcentral lists this long non-coding RNA (234 nucleotides) under Elaeis guineensis (African oil palm). RNAcentral describes it as "long non-coding RNA (EGUI_LNC073280)". The record is from RNAcentral. Lineage: Eukaryota; Viridiplantae; Streptophyta; Magnoliopsida; Arecales; Arecaceae.
ACUGACAAGAUAAAAUAGGUGCUGAUUGUGAGGCUAACCGAAGACUCAAUUAUCACUUAAAAUUGGUGAUUUAUAUAUACACCAAUCAAAAAUUUUAAUUUGAAAAAAGAGCUACCUGCCUAAAAUAAAAGCGCAAAACACAGAAUAUAUGUGGAUUGCCCUAAGCUUAGUAAUCGGAUCUCUGCACCUAAGUCAAGUGUGGAAGUUCGCAUCAAAUAGUGAAGGAAAGGCCAA